Molecule: ribosomal RNA, 250 nt
Filed under: uncultured bacterium
Lineage: Bacteria
Description: partial 16S ribosomal RNA
Rfam family: Bacterial small subunit ribosomal RNA
Source: RNAcentral
UACGGAGGGUGCAAGCGUUAUCCGGAUUCACUGGGUUUAAAGGGUGCGUAGGUGGAUUGGUAAGUCAGUGGUGAAAUCUCCGAGCUUAACUUGGAAACUGCCGUUGAUACUAUCAAUCUUGAAUAUCGCGUAGGUAAGCGGAAUAUGUCAUGUAGCGGUGAAAUGCUUAGAUAUGACAUAGAACACCAAUUGCGAAGGCAGCUUACUUCACGAUCAUUGACACUGAGGCACGAAAGCGUGGGGAGCAAAC